Molecule: ribosomal RNA, 444 nt
Filed under: uncultured bacterium
Lineage: Bacteria
Description: SSU rRNA
Rfam family: Bacterial small subunit ribosomal RNA
Source: RNAcentral
AGAACGAACGCUGGCGGCAGGCCUAAAACAUGCAAGUCGAGCGCCCAGCAAUGGGAGCGGCGGACGGGUGAGUAACACGUGGGAACGUACCUUUCGGUUCGGAACAACUCAGGGAAACUUGAGCUAAUGCCGAAUUCGCCCUUCGGGGGAAAGAUUUAUCGCCGAAAGAUCGGCCCGCGUAAGAUUAGCUAGUUGGUGAGGUAACGGCCCACCAAGGCGACGAUCUUUAGCUGGUUUGAGAGAACGACCAGCCACACUGGGACUGAGACACGGCCCAGACUCCUACGGGAGGCAGCAGUUGGGAAUCUUGGACAAUGGGGGAAACCCUGAUCCAGCCAUGCCGCGUGAGUGAUGAAGGCCUUCGGGUUGUAAAACUCUUUCGACGGGGACGAUAAUGACGGUACCCGUAGAAGAAGCUCCGGCUAACUUCGUGCCAGCAGCCGC